CCUACGGGCGGCAGCAGUGAGGAAUAUUGGUCAAUGGACGGAAGUCUGAACCAGCCAUGUCGCGUGCAGGAAGACGGCUCUAUGAGUUGUAAACUGCUUUUGUACAAGGGUAAACCUGAAUACGUGUAUUCAGCUGAAAGUACUGUACGAAUAAGGAUCGGCUAACUCCGUGCCAGCAGCCGCGGUAAUACGGAGGAUUCGAGCGUUAUCCGGAUUUAUUGGGUUUAAAGGGUGCGUAGGCGGAGUGAUAAGGUAGUUGUGAAAUGUCGGGGCCUAACCCGUUCACUGCCAUUGAUCCUGGCGAUCUUGAGAGGAGGAGAGGUAUGCGGAAUGCGUGGUGUAGCGGUGAAAUGCAUAGAGAUCACGCAGAACCCCGAUUGCGAAGGCAGCAUGCCGGCUUACAACUGACGCUGAAGCACGAAAGCGUGGGGAGCGAACAGGAUUAGAUACCCCUGUAGUC
This 460-nucleotide ribosomal RNA is filed under the name uncultured bacterium. Its description in RNAcentral is "partial 16S ribosomal RNA". It matches the Rfam family "Bacterial small subunit ribosomal RNA", at positions 338 to 795 of the family's 1533-position model. The record is from RNAcentral.